RNAcentral lists this ribosomal RNA (439 nucleotides) under uncultured bacterium. Its description in RNAcentral is "partial 16S ribosomal RNA". It matches the Rfam family "Bacterial small subunit ribosomal RNA", at positions 338 to 795 of the family's 1533-position model. The record is from RNAcentral.
CCUACGGGGGGCUGCAGUGGGGGAUAUUGCACAAUGGAGGCAACUCUGAUGCAGCGACGCCGCGUGAGGGAAGAAGGUCUUCGGAUUGUAAACCUCUGUCUUUGGGGAAGAAAAUGACGGUACCCAACGAGGAAGCUCCGGCUAACUACGUGCCAGCAGCCGCGGUAAUACGUAGGGAGCGAACGGUGUCCGGUAUUACUGGGUGUAAAGGGAGCGUAGGCGGGCGAGAAAGUUGAAUGUUAAAUCUACCGGCUAAACUGGUAGCUGCGUUCAAAACUUCUUGUUUUGAGUGAAGUAGAGGCAGGUGGAAUUCCUAGUGUAGCGGUGAAAUGCGUAGAGAUGAGGAGGAACACCAGUGGCGAAGGCGGCCUGCUGGACUUUAACUGACGCUGAGGCUCGAAAGCGUGGGGAGCAAACAGGAUUAGAUACCCGGGUAGUC